UGUAUAAUGGGUCAGCGACUUAUAUUCUGUAGCAAGGUUAACCGUAUAGGGGAGCCGUAGGGAAACCGAGUCUUAACUGGGCGAAUGAGUUGCAGGGUAUAGACCCGAAACCCGGUGAUCUAUCCAUGGGCAGGUUGAAGGUUGGGUAACACUAACUGGAGGACCGAACCGACUAAUGUUGAAAAAUUAGCGGAUGACUUGUGGAUGGGGGUGAAAGGCCAAUCAAACCGGGAGAUAGCUGGUUCUCCCCGAAAGCUAUUUAGGUAGCGCCUCGUGAAUUCAUCUUCGGGGGUAGAGCACUGUUUCGACUAGGGGGUCAUCCCGACUUACCAACUCGAUGCAAACUGCGAAUACCGAAGAAUGUUAUCACGGGAGACACACGGCGGGUGCUAACGUCCGUCGUGAAGAGGGAAACAACCCAGACCGCCAGCUAAGGUCCCAAAGUCAUGGUUAAGUGGGAAACGAAGUGGGAAGGCUCAGACAGCCAGGAUGUUGGCUUAGAAGCAGCCAUCAUUUAAAGAAAGCGUAAUAGCUCACUGGUCGAGUCGGCCCGCGCGGAAGAUGUAACGGGGCUAAACCAUGCACCGAAGCUGCGGCAGCGA
Molecule: ribosomal RNA, 602 nt
Filed under: Proteus mirabilis
Lineage: Bacteria; Pseudomonadati; Pseudomonadota; Gammaproteobacteria; Enterobacterales; Morganellaceae
Description: partial 23S ribosomal RNA
Rfam family: Bacterial large subunit ribosomal RNA
Source: RNAcentral